This 997-nucleotide ribosomal RNA is filed under the name Escherichia coli. RNAcentral describes it as "partial 23S ribosomal RNA". It matches the Rfam family "Bacterial large subunit ribosomal RNA", at positions 1934 to 2925 of the family's 2925-position model. The record is from RNAcentral. Lineage: Bacteria; Pseudomonadati; Pseudomonadota; Gammaproteobacteria; Enterobacterales; Enterobacteriaceae. RNAcentral also lists the same sequence under 1 other name.
CCGUAACUAUAACGGUCCUAAGGUAGCGAAAUUCCUUGUCGGGUAAGUUCCGACCUGCACGAAUGGCGUAAUGAUGGCCAGGCUGUCUCCACCCGAGACUCAGUGAAAUUGAACUCGCUGUGAAGAUGCAGUGUACCCGCGGCAAGACGGAAAGACCCCGUGAACCUUUACUAUAGCUUGACACUGAACAUUGAGCCUUGAUGUGUAGGAUAGGUGGGAGGCUUUGAAGUGUGGACGCCAGUCUGCAUGGAGCCGACCUUGAAAUACCACCCUUUAAUGUUUGAUGUUCUAACGUGGGCCCCUUACCGGGGUUGCGGACAGUGUCUGGUGGGUAGUUUGACUGGGGCGGUCUCCUCCUAAAGAGUAACGGAGGAGCACGAAGGUUGGCUAAUCCUGGUCGGACAUCAGGAGGUUAGUGCAAUGGCAUAAGCCAGCUUGACUGCGAGCGUGACGGCGCGAGCAGGUGCGAAAGCAGGUCAUAGUGAUCCGGUGGUUCUGAAUGGAAGGGCCAUCGCUCAACGGAUAAAAGGUACUCCGGGGAUAACAGGCUGAUACCGCCCAAGAGUUCAUAUCGACGGCGGUGUUUGGCACCUCGAUGUCGGCUCAUCACAUCCUGGGGCUGAAGUAGGUCCCAAGGGUAUGGCUGUUCGCCAUUUAAAGUGGUACGCGAGCUGGGUUUAGAACGUCGUGAGACAGUUCGGUCCCUAUCUGCCGUGGGCGCUGGAGAACUGAGGGGGGCUGCUCCUAGUACGAGAGGACCGGAGUGGACGCAUCACUGGUGUUCGGGUUGUCAUGCCAAUGGCACUGCCCGGUAGCUAAAUGCGGAAGAGAUAAGUGCUGAAAGCAUCUAAGCACGAAACUUGCCCCGAGAUGAGUUCUCCCUGACUCCUUGAGAGUCCUGAAGGAACGUUGAAGACGACGACGUUGAUAGGCCGGGUGUGUAAGCGCAGCGAUGCGUUGAGCUAACCGGUACUAAUGAACCGUGAGGCUUAACCUU